GGCUGUCAGCUGGGGGGGCUCGGUCCUCUCCUCCUCCCUGUGCCCAUCGCAUCUCCCCGCGGACCAGCCGGCCCUGCCUCUCUUGCUCCCCUCCCUCACUCCUGUCCGGGACCCGGGUUUGGGGCUGGGGGAGGCGGUGCCCACCCCUCCGCGGGGCCGGGGCGAGUGCUGCCGGCGGGAGCGGUGGCUCGGCAGCCCGGGCUGCAGCCCGGGCCGGGCUGCGCUGCGCUGGGGAGCAGGUUUCUUUGUUGGCUGCCGGGUGACUGGUUCCCAUUAAUCUCCCGCACUGGUCGUGGCCGUCUCCACUUCCUGCCUUUGCAUACUUCUCUCUCCUUCGAUCUCAGUCCCUUCCCACCCCCUUCCCUCCCCCCUUUCUUUCCCUCUUCCCAGCUUCUCCAAAAAAACUACAAUCGCCCGGGCUGCGGGACGGGGGCUGCAGGCGGCCGGCGGAGGGAGCGCAUCCCUGCGCACCUCGAAACAUGAAAGAAUACAGGAAGUCCUGCAUGACCUUAUGAAUACCUGUGCUAAUUAAGUCACUGGCUUGGUACUGGGAGAACAGCAAGAUAAUAACACAGAGUUUUGUCUGGGAAAUACAAAUCUGAGAAUG
This is a non-coding RNA of Lonchura striata (white-rumped munia), 607 nucleotides long. The record is from RefSeq and is a predicted model, not a curated record. NCBI's taxonomy places the organism in Eukaryota, Metazoa, Chordata, Aves, Passeriformes, Estrildidae.